AGUAGAGAGUAUUUUACAAGAAGAAGUCUGUGGAUUCUGGAAUUGUAUGAAGCAGAUUACUAAGAAUGAUAGAUAGUUUUGGAGAAUUUCAAUGAUUGGAUUAUAGAAUGUUUUAUGCAAUCUUUUAAGAUAGUGCAAUAUUACAUAUUGUUGUUAUAAGUUUGGAGAGGAGAAGAGACAAAAAAUGCAUAAGAUAGUAUUAUCAAUUGUAAUAUUUUAAUUGUUAGAAGAAGAAU
This 236-nucleotide long non-coding RNA is filed under the name Physcomitrium patens. RNAcentral describes it as "long non-coding RNA (PPAT_LNC011588)". Lineage: Eukaryota; Viridiplantae; Streptophyta; Bryopsida; Funariales; Funariaceae. The record is from RNAcentral.